This 619-nucleotide ribosomal RNA is filed under the name Lacticaseibacillus rhamnosus. RNAcentral's name for it is "bacterial SSU rRNA". It matches the Rfam family "Bacterial small subunit ribosomal RNA", at positions 393 to 1003 of the family's 1533-position model. Lineage: Bacteria; Bacillati; Bacillota; Bacilli; Lactobacillales; Lactobacillaceae. The record is from RNAcentral.
AACGCCGCGUGAGUGAAGAAGGCUUUCGGGUCGUAAAACUCUGUUGUUGGAGAAGAAUGGUCGGCAGAGUAACUGUUGUCGGCGUGACGGUAUCCAACCAGAAAGCCACGGCUAACUACGUGCCAGCAGCCGCGGUAAUACGUAGGUGGCAAGCGUUAUCCGGAUUUAUUGGGCGUAAAGCGAGCGCAGGCGGUUUUUUAAGUCUGAUGUGAAAGCCCUCGGCUUAACCGAGGAAGUGCAUCGGAAACUGGGAAACUUGAGUGCAGAAGAGGACAGUGGAACUCCAUGUGUAGCGGUGAAAUGCGUAGAUAUAUGGAAGAACACCAGUGGCGAAGGCGGCUGUCUGGUCUGUAACUGACGCUGAGGCUCGAAAGCAUGGGUAGCGAACAGGAUUAGAUACCCUGGUAGUCCAUGCCGUAAACGAUGAAUGCUAGGUGUUGGAGGGUUUCCGCCCUUCAGUGCCGCAGCUAACGCAUUAAGCAUUCCGCCUGGGGAGUACGACCGCAAGGUUGAAACUCAAAGGAAUUGACGGGGGCCCGCACAAGCGGUGGAGCAUGUGGUUUAAUUCGAAGCAACGCGAAGAACCUUACCAGGUCUUGACAUCUUUUGAUCACCUGAG